RNAcentral lists this unclassified non-coding RNA (387 nucleotides) under Hevea brasiliensis (rubber tree). Lineage: Eukaryota; Viridiplantae; Streptophyta; Magnoliopsida; Malpighiales; Euphorbiaceae. The record is from RNAcentral.
AACACUGUUUUUCAUCGUUGUUGGAAUUACGCUGCUGCCUUCUCUCUCUCAAACUGACAAUGGUAGGAAGCAUUAUCUCCUUCGAAGCUCCGAUGAGAUAUCUUUGUGUAAGAUUUUGGCAAGUGUUGCAGAGAAAACAUCUAAUAUGCCUGAGAGCUAAGAAAUUAGCACCAUGUACCCAUUUGUCACAUUCUCUACACAGAAAUGCAUCAUCUGCUUGGCAAUAUAAAGAUGCUCGAGACCCACAGAGUUCACAGCAUAUCAAACUUGAGGCUUCAUCGCCUGAACCAGCUUCUUUCUCCUCUAGUUUCAUGCAGAACCUGCCUUGGUUGUGGCUUCUCUCCUCUACACCUCUGCACAUUUUCUCUCUUUCACAAGCUUAAAAAG